This 467-nucleotide ribosomal RNA is filed under the name uncultured bacterium. RNAcentral's name for it is "partial 16S ribosomal RNA". It matches the Rfam family "Bacterial small subunit ribosomal RNA", at positions 28 to 507 of the family's 1533-position model. The record is from RNAcentral.
GAUGAACGCUGGCGGCGUGCUUAACACAUGCAAGUCGAACGGAAAGGCCCAAGCUUGCUUGGGUACUCGAGUGGCGAACGGGUGAGUAACACGUGGGUGAUCUGCCCUGCACUUCGGGAUAAGCCUGGGAAACUGGGUCUAAUACCGGAUAGGACCACUUCUUGGAUGUUGUGGUGGAAAGUUUUUUCGGUGUGGGAUGAGCUCGCGGCCUAUCAGCUUGUUGGUGGGGUAAUGGCCUACCAAGGCGUCGACGGGUAGCCGGCCUGAGAGGGUGUACGGCCACAUUGGGACUGAGAGACGGCCCAGACUCCUACGGGAGGCAGCAGGGGGGAAGAUUGCACAAUGGGCGCAAGCCUGAUGCAGCGACGCCGCGUGGGGGAUGACGGCCUUCGGGUUGUAAACUCCUUUCGCUAGGGACGAAGCGUUUUGUGACGGUACCUGGAGAAGAAGCACCGGCUAACUACGUG